GUUUUUGCAGUGAUUUUGCUAGCAUUCGUCAUUUUCGUAAUUUACGAAACAGUUUUCAAAAUGGCAAAAGAAUUUCAAAUCAAUUUCGUCACUUAAUUCUGAAAGUAUAAAGAUAUUUUCCCAUGAAAAUACUGUGAAUCUACCUGUCUCUGUGUUUUUGACAAGUUUUUGACCCCAGGUAAUUAACAUUUGCAACAGGUGUGAAUGAUUACAACUAAUCUGAUUAUCACCAUCGGAUGGGUCACUAAUCCGUUAAUUAUUAAUAAACCUCAUAAUUGACCAUCAUAAUUAUUUUCCCUAUAAAAAUCAGUCAGCAUUUCAACAACUAGGAGUAUAGUUUUAACAUUGAAUCAAAUACUGAUAACUACCAAAUAUGCCUAAGACUUGGUCCUUUAGAGUCGGACAAAGAUGUUGUUAGAAAUAUACAUCCUUGGUCCCUUGCUGUUACACAUUGACAAACUACGGUUAACUUAAAGUAAAUGUAGAGACAACUAAAGGUUUAAUUUUUUCAAAAAGCAGGAUGUAAAAAAACACAAAAUUUUAUUUGAAUAAUAAUGAGCUUGAAAUAGUUAAAGAUUAUAAAAAUCUUGGUAUAUUCUUUUGUAAAAGUGGAUCAUUCUUGUCUACAAGAAAGUAUCUAAAGGAACAGGCAACUAAAGCCAUGUUUGGAUUAUUGAAGACAUGUAGAACAAAUAACUUAUCUAUUGAAUGUCAAAUUGAUUUGUUUAAAAAAUUAGUAGAACCUGUAAUACACUACUUUUGAGACAAAUUAUAGAAAACUUCAUCGGCUC
Molecule: long non-coding RNA, 791 nt
Filed under: Mytilus galloprovincialis (Mediterranean mussel)
Lineage: Eukaryota; Metazoa; Mollusca; Bivalvia; Mytilida; Mytilidae
Source: RNAcentral